AAAGGAAUAGACGGGGGCUCACACAAGCGGUGGAGGAUGUGGCUUAAUUCGAGGCUACGCGAAGAACCUUAUCCAGGCCUUGACUACAACGGAUUAACCCCGCGAAAGCGGGGCCACGCCUUCGGGUGGAACGUUGAACAGGUGCUGCAUGGCUGUCGUCAGCUCGUGUCGUGAGAUGUCGGGUUAAGUCCCUUAACGAGCGCAACCCUUGUUGCUAGUUGCCAGCGAGUCAUGUCGGGGACUCUAGCAAGACUGCCGGUGUUAAACCGGAGGAAGGUGGGGAUGACGUCAAGUCCUCAUGGCCUUUAUGGCCUGGGCUGCACACGUCCUACAAUGGCGUCUACAAAGGGAAGCAAGCUCGCGAGAGUAAGCAAAUCCCAAAAAGGACGCCUCAGUACGGAUUGCAGGCUGCAACUCGCCUGCAUGAAGCUGGAAUCGCUAGUAAUCGCCGGUCAGCAUACGGCGGUGAAUGUGUUCCUGAGCCUUGCACACACCGCCCGU
RNAcentral lists this ribosomal RNA (501 nucleotides) under uncultured bacterium. RNAcentral describes it as "bacterial SSU rRNA". It matches the Rfam family "Bacterial small subunit ribosomal RNA", at positions 903 to 1397 of the family's 1533-position model. The record is from RNAcentral.